CUUUGGGGACAUAAUUAACCUAUGAGGUUUCUGACUUUAUGAGUAUAUUAAUAAAGGCCUGUCUUGCCUUCCAUAACUUCUACCCUAUGAGGACAAAACAUCGAGGAAACAGUGAGCAACAAAACCUUGGGAGUUCCAAUGUCCAAAACUCAGGGAAAUAAAGUUACCCAGUCCCAGGUAUUUGAUGCCUAAAAUACAAACAAAUCAAGACAACAUCUCAAUUUAUUCUGACAGAUUGGUGAUAUUGAGUGAAGUUUUCAUAACAUUUAUUUAGUUUGUCAACAGCAUUUGACCCCAUUUACUGUGAAUUUUGUGUGACUUGGGCCCUAUUCUAUGUGCUUUACACACAUUAAUUCAUUCAUAGUAAAUGAAACCUUCUACUGGUAUCUCAAUCCAUCCUCUUUCUUCUGUCACAUUGAUUACCACUACCUCUCUCACUGGUAGGAACCCACCUCAACAUUAACUCCGAAUCUAUCAUUGUUCUUAGUCUGCCUGGAUAGUUUCUCUCAUCUCCAUAGCUGUUUAUCAUUUUUACCUUACUAUAUUUACAACAUGGGACAGCAUGCAUGUCUGAGUACAAGGGUCCCCUGCUUGAACAUUCUUCUGUCUCUUAUGAAUUUCUUUGUGUUUUAUUACUAAACAAUUUCUGUUUAUGGCAAAUAUUUUUUAAAAAAAAAAGACUAGUAAAGCCACG
Molecule: long non-coding RNA, 694 nt
Filed under: Mus pahari (shrew mouse)
Lineage: Eukaryota; Metazoa; Chordata; Mammalia; Rodentia; Muridae
Description: predicted gene, 43894 (MGP_PahariEiJ_G0005033.1)
Source: RNAcentral